CCUACGGGUGGCAGCAGUGGGGAAUAUUGGGCAAUGGGGGAAACCCUGAAGCAGCAACGCCGCGUGGAGGAUGAAGGUUUUCGGAUUGUAAACUCCUUUUGGUAGAGAAGAAAAUGACGGUAUCUAACGAAUAAGCACCGGCUAACUCCGUGCCAGCAGCCGCGGUAAUACGUAGGGUGCAAGCGUUACUCGGAAUAACUGGGCGUAAAGAGUGCGUAGGCGGGAUAGCAAGUCAGAUGUGAAAUGCUAUGGCUUAACCAUAGAACUGCAUUUGAAACUGUUAUUCUAGAGUAUGGGAGAGGUAAGUGGAAUUCUUAGUGUAGGGGUGAAAUCCGUAGAGAUUAAGAGGAAUACUCAUUGCGAAGGCGACCUGCUAGAACAUAACUGACGCUGAUGCGCGAAAGCGUGGGGAGCAAACAGGAUUAGAUACCCCAGUAGUC
Molecule: ribosomal RNA, 440 nt
Filed under: uncultured bacterium
Lineage: Bacteria
Description: partial 16S ribosomal RNA
Rfam family: Bacterial small subunit ribosomal RNA
Source: RNAcentral